UACGUAGGGUCCGAGCGUUGUCCGGAAUCAUUGGGCGUAAAGCGCAUGUAGGCGGCCAUGUAAGUCGGAUGUGAAAUCCCGAGGCUCAACUUCGGAACUGCAUCCGAUACUGCGUGGCUUGAGGAAGGUAGAGGAGAGUGGAAUUCCCGGUGUAGCGGUGGAAUGCGCAGAUAUCGGGAGGAACACCAGCGGCGAAGGCGGCUCUCUGGGCCUCUCCUGACGCUGAGAUGCGAAAGCGUGGGUAGCGAACAGGA
This 254-nucleotide ribosomal RNA is filed under the name uncultured prokaryote. RNAcentral's name for it is "partial 16S ribosomal RNA". It matches the Rfam family "Bacterial small subunit ribosomal RNA", at positions 524 to 777 of the family's 1533-position model. The record is from RNAcentral.